CCUACGGGAGGCAGCAGUGGGGAAUAUUGGGCAAUGGGCGCAAGCCUGACCCAGCAACGCCGCGUGAAGGAAGAAGGCUUUCGGGUUGUAAACUUCUUUUAAGGGGGACGAGCAGAAGACGGUACCCCUUGAAUAAGCCACGGCUAACUACGUGCCAGCAGCCGCGGUAAUACGUAGGUGGCAAGCGUUGUCCGGAUUUACUGGGUGUAAAGGGCGUGCAGCCGGAGAGACAAGUCAGAUGUGAAAUCCACGGGCUCAACCCGUGAACUGCAUUUGACACUGUUUCCCUUGAGUGUCGGAGAGGUAAUCGGAAUUCCUUGUGUAGCGGUGAAAUGCGUAGAUAUAAGGAAGAACACCAGUGGCGAAGGCGGAUUACUGGACGAUAACUGACGGUGAGGCGCGAAAGCGUGGGGAGCAAACAGGAUUAGAUACCCGGGGAGUC
Molecule: ribosomal RNA, 442 nt
Filed under: uncultured bacterium
Lineage: Bacteria
Description: partial 16S ribosomal RNA
Rfam family: Bacterial small subunit ribosomal RNA
Source: RNAcentral